This 209-nucleotide ribosomal RNA is filed under the name uncultured bacterium. RNAcentral's name for it is "partial 16S ribosomal RNA". It matches the Rfam family "Bacterial small subunit ribosomal RNA", at positions 568 to 774 of the family's 1533-position model. The record is from RNAcentral.
CGCGUAGGCGGUCAUGCAAGUCAGGUGUGAAAUCCCCCAGGCUUAACCUGGGAACUGCGCUUGAAACUGCAUAGCUUGAGGCCGGGAGAGGAAAGUGGAAUUCCUGGUGUAGCGGUGAAAUGCGUAGAUAUCAGGAGGAACACCGGUGGCGAAGGCGGCUUUUCUGGACCGGUUCUGACGCUGAAGCGCGAAAGCGUGGGGAGCAAACG